AAGAGGUGAUCGUCCUAACUGCUCGAGUGCAUCCUGGAGAGAGUAAUUCCUCGUGGGUGAUGGAGGGGGUACUCAACUUUCUACUGGGAGACUCGCCUGAGGCACGCUUGUUGCCUGAAGUUCAUAUUCAAAAUUGUGCCAAUGUUAAAUCCUGAGGGAGUCAUACAUGGAAAUCAGCGGUGUGGCUUGACAGAUGAAGACCUUAACCGUCGAUGGCGGGCCCCUGACCCCACCCUCCACCCAACCAUUUACCAUGCUAAGUCGCUGCUAGAAUACCUGACAACAGUAGUAAAGCUGAAGGUCCGUGUGUUCUGCGAUUUCCACGGUCACUCCCGCCAAAAGAACGUCUUCAUGUACGGCUGUUCUCGCCUCCAGUCCUGGUGGCCGGGUGACAGGGAUCUCCCUGAUAGUCCUGACUUUAUGCUUUUGCCACAACUCGCUCAAAACUGUAUGGGGACAUUUUCCCUGCGUGACUGCCACUUCUUAAUAGAGCGAGCGAGGGAGGCCACAGCUCGUGUGGCCGUGUGGAGGCAGUUUGACAUUCCCAUGUCUUACACAAUGGAGGCAUCUACCUGCGGCUGUGAUCAAGGUCCAUAUAAAAACAACCACCUUAGCACAAAACAAUUAUUAGAGUCAGGUGAAGGCUUCUGUCUUGCCCUCUCUUAUCUUGUCUCUGCCCCAGAAGCUGUCAACUCUCAGCUCAAACUCAAUUCAGACAGUGAUGAUGAUGAAGCUGACUGUGGUAGUGAUAGUGAUGAUGAGUAGGUGGUGGUCAGGUCAAGCCUAGUGCAGAGACCAGCUUGGAGAAGUGGUCUUCUCUGCUUUCUCCAGGAUUGACUGUCGCUUCAGAGUGGUAUCUGAGAGAAACCUUGGAGAUUUUUCUCACGAAGUUGUCUUCUGGAGCGGAGAUUUGGACGACGACCUCGACUCUGAUGAUGACCUUGACCUGGAUCUUUAUGG
This 960-nucleotide unclassified non-coding RNA is filed under the name Homarus americanus (American lobster). RNAcentral's name for it is "cytosolic carboxypeptidase 1-like, transcript variant X1". Lineage: Eukaryota; Metazoa; Arthropoda; Malacostraca; Decapoda; Nephropidae. The record is from RNAcentral.